UGCCCGGUGGUGUAACGGUAGCACAACAGAUUUUGAUUCUGUUUGCCCAAGUUCGAAUCUUGGCCGGGCAA
RNAcentral lists this transfer RNA (71 nucleotides) under Chitinophagaceae bacterium. Its description in RNAcentral is "tRNA-Gln". It matches the Rfam family "tRNA". From Rfam's summary of the family: Transfer RNA (tRNA) molecules are approximately 80 nucleotides in length. Their secondary structure includes four short double-helical elements and three loops (D, anti-codon, and T loops). The record is from RNAcentral. Lineage: Bacteria; Pseudomonadati; Bacteroidota; Chitinophagia; Chitinophagales; Chitinophagaceae.